AAUGAAAAAAUAAGCUUAUAAUAAAUAAAAUACAAUAUAUUAUAACAUAUCACAUCAUGGAAAGUAAUGAAACAAAUGAGACAUAUAAUUUAAUGCUCGAAAAAAAUAAAUACAAUAUAAGGAGUAGAAAAAGUGACACAAAUAAUUAUACAAAAAAAAAAGAUCUACAACAAACAUCAAAUGGUUUAAAAAAAAAAUCUUUAAGAGGGCGGCCAUGCAAGAACAAAAAAAAAGAAGAAAAAGAAAAAGAAAAAGAAGAAGAAGAAGAAGAAGAAGAAGAAGAUAAAAAUAAAGCAAGCAUACCUGAACACCGCGGAAGUACAAGUAUAAACACAUACACGAGCAGGGAUAACCACAACCAUAACGGGUAUAACAGUCACAUCAGCUAUAAUAGGUAUAACAUCUAUAAUGAUUAUGAUAAAUAUAACUACUAUAGAAGAUAUGGAAUUCACAAUGAUAUACAAAUAAACAACAAAGAACAUAUAGCAAAGAAGAUAAGCACAAAUUAUAAUAAGAACAAUGUACGGUUUAACGAAUUAGGAGUUAAUAAAACAGGAAUAGCAAAUACGUUUUCGAAACAAAGCUUGACAUAUGAUUGUUAUAAAAAGAAGGAUAUUUUAUUAGGUUUAUGGUGGAAGAAUAUUAUUGAUUUAUAUUCUGAAAUGUUAAUAACAAACUUAUGUAGUAAUAUAAGUAAUAUUGAAAUAGUUAAUAUGAAUAAUAGUUUUUAUAAAAAUUUCCAGUAUCUUAAUGAAGGUAUUCUUAUUUUUCAUAACUCCACAAAAAGAGAUAGCUAUAAGAUGAGUAUGUUGCGGGUAAUAACAAAAGAAAACAUUGUUGAUAGUGACAAAAACAAUGAUAAUUGUGAUAAUUGUAAAAAUUGUGAUAACUGUGAAAAUGGUGAUAACUGUGAAAAUGGUAAAAACGAUUUUUAUAAUUCGUUUGAUGCUGUUGAACAUAAAUUAACAGAUAAUACAUCAAAAUUAUGUUAUAAAAAUAAAUACAAAUAUGUACCUAUUAUUAGAAGAUACAAUUGUAUGAAUAUACCAUAUUAUGCUACUAACUCUGAUUUAUUAUACUGUAAUAAAAACAUGAGUAGUGUUUGUGAUUAUAACAAUGGUAAUAAGAAUAAUCGUAACAAUCAUUUAGAUUAUGACUAUUACAAUAACAAUAAAAAUCACUAUAGUAGUUGUUUUUAUGAUGAAGGUAAUGUUUUAUUAGCAAAUAAAUCUAUAUGUGGUAAUAUUUAUUUAUAUAACAUUAAAAAUACAAUAAACCGAAUUAAUUCUAUGGAAGAAAAUGAAUUACUAGAUGAUAUGCUAACUGAAGAACAAGGACAAGAUUAUGAAUCUAAUUUUUAUAAAAAUAGAAAUCUUACAAAUGAUAUAAAGAACAAAAUUUACUAUAAUAAUAAAAAAGAGUAUAAUAAUACAAACAAUACUAGAACUAGUGUGAAAAAUAAUAAUAAAAAAGUCAAUGAUGAAAAAAGAAAAAUAUAUGAUGGUGAACUAUUAUUAGAACUACUUGGGCAUAAUAAAACUGGAAAAGGUUUAUUUUUUCAGAAUAAUUAUUUAUUGAGUAAUGGUGAUGAUGGUAAACUAUUUGUAUAUGAUAUUAAUAGUCAUAGCAGUGGGAAUAGCAGUGGGCAUGGUAAUAACAUUAGUAAUUAUAAUAAUGGUAGUAUACAUAUGCACACAGCAAAUCAUAAUAAUGUAAAUAAAAUAAAACCUUAUAUAUCAAUAAAAACAAAUGAUGUAUAUUGUAAUGUGAGGUGGUUACAUGAUUCGUUAGUUAUAGGAGCAACUUAUAGUGGCUAUUUUUCGUUGUUUGACAUUAGGAUGAAAAAUGGAUACUCGAGUAAUAGUAGUGGUAUUAGUAAUAAUUACAAAAAAGAUGGUAUGGGUUAUACUGGUAACAGCAAUGUAAAUAUGUACUCUGUUCAUAAAAAAUUAUCGAAAUAUGAAAUUUCUGACAUAGAUAAAUAUAACAAUUACGAUAAUAAUUUGAUUUGCUUAAGUUCAUUAAAUAACAUUUUAAUUUUUGAUUUGCGGUAUAUAAAAAAUAACCUACCUUAUAAAGUUAUACAUGAUAAUUCAUAUCAUAAUAAGAACUAUCAUAGUAUGAUUAGUGGUAUUGGCGGUGUUACUUCUAAUGCUAGUAACACAAGUGGUACUGCUCUUACUACUACUACUACUACUACUACUGCAGCUGCUGCUGCUACUACUACUGCAACUGCUACUGCUACUACUACUAACAGUAGUAAUGAUUAUAGUAUAGAACCAUAUCAAAUCACAUAUGAAGAUAUAGCAAAUAAUUUUAAAAAUAAUAAUAAGUAUUAUGACAUAUGUAAUGACAACGAUAAUGAUGUUUCUAUGUGUAGUAAUACUAUGAAUGCUGAAUAUAUGAGUAGUGAUUGUAUUAAUGGUGAAUAUAUACAUGAUGACAUUAAUAAUAAUAACAUUAAUAGUAGUGGUAUUAGUACAACUAGCAAUAACAAUAAUACUAGUAGUAGUAGUAGUAAUAAUAAUAGUAAUAAUAAUAAUAAUAAUAGUAAUAAUAGUAAUAAUAAUAGUAAUAACGAUUUAAACUACAUGUAUGAUCACUCAUAUCAUGUUUAUUAUCACGAAAAUUAUGUUGAAUCAAAUGCUUUUAUCCAUUCACUGUUCUGGACUAACAUAGAAGCUUUUAAUUAUAUUGGUUCGAUAAAUAAUAAAGGCAUAAUUAACUUAUAUGAUAUGAAUAAUAGUAAAAAUCAAUGUAUUUUUACAUAUGGUCAAAAAUAUAUCAAGUUAUUUAAAUACAAUCCGUAUAAAGUAAAUAAUUUUAUUUCAGUUGAUAAGCAUAAUGUCCUUAUGCUUUUUACUCUACCUGGUCAUGUUUAUAAAACUGAUUUGGAUUUGUACCUAAACGAAGUUAUUAAUUAAGAAUGGGUACGCCAGAAGCCAGGACUGAAUGAGUGAGUAAGUGAGUGAGUGAGUAGGCAACACAUUUGAUGAAUUAAGUUAACAAACAUAACCCAUUUGAUUCGAUUUACAUAUAUACAUAUUAU
Piliocolobus tephrosceles (Ugandan red Colobus) is the source of this 3049-nucleotide long non-coding RNA. NCBI's taxonomy places the organism in Eukaryota, Metazoa, Chordata, Mammalia, Primates, Cercopithecidae. The record is from Ensembl.